This is an RNA transcript of Magnolia sinica, 2718 nucleotides long. RefSeq lists it as uncharacterized. Lineage: Eukaryota; Viridiplantae; Streptophyta; Magnoliopsida; Magnoliales; Magnoliaceae. The record is from RefSeq and is a predicted model, not a curated record. The transcript has 9 exons.
UCAAAUCUCUCUCCUUUUCCUCUCCAAUCUCUUUGUACCUAGUUAGUACAGAAUCCUCUUGAAUCCCUCAACCAGAAUCCCCUUUUCCUCUCCAAAACUAAAAUUCACAAAACCCUAAUCUUUCAUUUAUGAAAAAUCUAGAUCUCUUCAAUCUCAAAUCCUCGUUCUCCCUCUAUCUCCCCUAGACUUCUUGAUUUUACAUUCUUUGAAUAUUGAAGGGAUAACCUGCAUCAAGUUGACGAGAGACUAGCAGUGGUAAUCGAAAAACAAAAGCAGUCUUCAAAUCUGGAGAUGAGUAGACUUGAUGCAAGGAUCAUGCAGAAACUUGAUGUCAUGCAGCAAUUGGAACAUGAGCUUAAGGCCAUGUCUACCUUUGAUUACUGAGAAGUUAUGUUACUCCUCGGGAAGAAGUUCUUGCCGGCACGUUUGGAGGAUUUAGCAGGCAAAGAUGCCAAAGAGAAAUUUGAUGCUGCUACAAAAGACCUUUUUGCGGAGCUUGCACUUAAGGCCAAAAGUAAUGUCAACAAAGGAGGUGAUGAUUCAAAACAGAUACAGGCAAUGUCAAAGAAAAAGAAGAAGAAGGAUUACAGAAGAGCUAAGAAUCCAAAGGGCGUUGGUCAUGACAAAGAGGCUCUCACCCAUCGAGAAACUGAAGAACAAGUGAAGCUUAGGCUACUUUGAAUGCUAAGGAUAUCCAAUCACAAAUACAAAAUCACCUAUGGCUAUAGUACGAAAGUAGCUACAGUAAAGCUAGGGUCCUCAAAGAAUCGUUGUUGAUGUGAUUAUGAUGUCUUCUCGGUUUCCAUUUGCAGAUGUGUGAUUAGGACAUCGAUGUUUUGGGUGGUGGCAACAACCUGUGGAGUUGGACUGGCCAUCAACUUCACCUCUAUGUGGUUUUUAAACCAAACAAGUCCCACCAUGUACAGGUAAGAGUCAUAUACCACUGAGAGACUACUAAUGAAUAGUCUUCCUACCGCCACAUACAAGUAAGAGUCAUAUGCCUCCCAUCCGCACAGGGUCCAUUAGAUCAAUAGUCUUCCUACCAAAGACUGUACUUUUGUUGAAGAUGAGGACCCCAUGUAAUCUCUUUGACCAAUAGUCUUUGAUUGAUAUCUUGACAUGCCUCUUACCAUUUGAUAUCAUGAAUAUCUUUUGGAGUCAAUGAGUUUUGGGUUUGAAGGUAAUGUACUUGAUCCUCUAGUUUGAAAUUUUUUGCCAUGUGGUCUACAUGUGGUGUAAAACCAGCUUUCAACUUAUAAUUUUGGGUUAUAGUUUUUCUAUCCUUUUACUUUACAUGAGUCAGCAAAAAGGCCGAUAACUGGUAUAUGCUUGAUGUGAAGGGACAUUCAAAAUUCUCCUUAAUGCAGGUCUUCCCAUAGAUGGAAGUCUAUUACUCUUUGUUAUUUUGUUUGCUGUAACCAUUUCUUUGAGUCCCCAUUAUUUUUUACUGAUCUUCAGAGACCAUUAUUGUUCUUUCUUAUGAAGUGUUGUAUUCUCUUUCUUCUCGAGCUAGUUCCCUUUUAUUUCAUGUCUAUCUUUUUUCAUCUUGGCUAUAAAGAAUUAGAAGCUCACUUCACUGGCUUUUGCAAAAUUUGGAAUUUGCUAGCAACAUAGUAAUUUAGCCUUCUUUUUUUCUUAUCACCUUUUAUUUUGUUGCAAACUCCAAAAUACAUGUAUGGUAUUCUUAUUUCUCUACUUCAUAAAUCAUCUUUAGAGACAUGAAAUAUUUAUUUUUCAUUGUUGGUAGUUGAGUGAACACAAGAGCCUAUCGCAUAAGAACAAAUGGUAGAGAUCAAGUCUCUUAAAGCACUGAUCUUUCAGAGUGAUGCUUAUCAAGCCACAGGCUGCUACAAUCUCCUAUUCUCAGGAUGAUGAUUUAGAUGAAUUGAUUUACACUCCAGAUUUGUUGGUUUGAGCUAAUUCCUUUUUUUCUGUUGCUUUUCUCCAUAAUCUUUCAAAAGGGGACAAAAUCUUCAUAAUCCAUUAAUUCUUUUUUUCCAUAUAGAUUGUUGAUGUUUUGUUGAGAGCACGUCAUCUCAAAAUUACAAAAGAUUACAGUUCUAUUUUUUUUUUUCCUCCAAUGAAUCUGUUUUGGAGCAGUUCCAUACUUUUGUUUGGAGCAGUUCCAUACUCUGUUUUGGAGUAGUUCCAUACAUUGUUUUCCAUGUAAAUGUUAAGAGAGUUUUUAAGAAUGGGUCCCAUACCAAACAUUUUCAGUUACAUAGAACUGAAGACUGCCACCGAAGACUUCAAUCCUGCAAGUAAGCUAGGUCAAGGUGGAUUUGGCACCAUUUUUAAGGUCAGUUUGUUUUUAUUCUAUGUAAACUACAAUGAUCAGAAGAUUUAAAUGGUCCAGAGCCUCAGUAUGGUGACUGCAUGCAUGUGGGGGCCAGCUAUGGAUGAGGAAAGCCCACUCCUUGAUGGAACAAUCGCAAACCUUUGAUAGGAGAGUAAAUUGCAUCUGGAUUGGCAUACCUGCUUUGAGAUAUGCUUGGGGACUGCAAGAGGUCUCGCUUACAUUCACAAGGAAUCUAGGCCUCACAUUGUUCAUAGGGAUGUCUAAUGGAAUGAAGCUGUACUCAGGCUAGACAUAUGGCCAGAUAGACAAAUUUUGUGAGUUCUCUCUAUUGCAUCUUAAUAGACUGCUCAUCUCUUCCACAUUGUAGUCAAAAUGGAGUUUAUUCAUUUUAUCAUGGAUAUCUGAUUAAUUGUAAUUUA